RNAcentral lists this transfer RNA (72 nucleotides) under Ictidomys tridecemlineatus (thirteen-lined ground squirrel). Its description in RNAcentral is "Spermophilus tridecemlineatus (thirteen-lined ground squirrel) tRNA". It matches the Rfam family "tRNA". From Rfam's summary of the family: Transfer RNA (tRNA) molecules are approximately 80 nucleotides in length. Their secondary structure includes four short double-helical elements and three loops (D, anti-codon, and T loops). The record is from Rfam by way of RNAcentral. Lineage: Eukaryota; Metazoa; Chordata; Mammalia; Rodentia; Sciuridae.
GGGGUUGUGGCUCAGUGGUAGAGUGCUUGCCUAGCAUGCAUAAGGCACUGGGUUCAAUCCCCAGCAUCACAU